UACAUAGACCUCAAUGUCCGGUACAAACUGAUUGUAAUUUCGGGCACCAUGUCUUCUUCUUUAUUUUACGAAAAAUACCCCUCGGGAGUGACGAAUUACAUUUAAUUUCGCGACAGUUGACUUACCCCUCUCGAUGGUCUGACAUUUUGUUGCUGUCAAAAAUCGGCAAUGCGAGGUGUCAAACUCUUUGUUUACUUUAGUAAUUGAAUUGUGGUCUUACGUCUUGCGACUAAUUAAAGUUUGUAAAAUAUUUAUUUAGUUAAAUAGUGAAUAAGUUAUAUCACGAUUUAUGAGGCGCGUCCGAUUGAAAGGCGAUACGGGUCGUGCGAAGGAUAGGUAACCUAAAAUCGCUUCUAAAUGGGAUUUCCAAGCGAGUUUUCGUCAAGGCCACGACCGGCUCGAUACAUCUACCAUCUGCGGCUGCUGCGGGUGGAGCAUACAACCUACACACUUAAAAUAAAUCGCCGACUUCGCAUGUUACAGUAGCUGCUGUAGUAAAUAGAAUCUUUGGCUUUGCAUCGGACAGUUUGGCGUUGCAGCAGCACCCCGUUAUUCAUCCAGGUGAAAGCUCACAUAAACUGUUGAGCCGCGAAUGAAUUGCUCACUUUUAAACCAACGGCGCAGUCUGGACCGAUUCUUCGAUGUAAAAAAAACAAGAGCAGUUAGCCUGCCUCGCCUUAUGGGAAUGAGACUGCAGUUAUGUGCUGCAGUGCUAAACUCCCGGAAAUAAACCGAAAAAAGCGACUGACAUAUCUUGAUUUAGUAGGCUAUGGUAUGCCCGGAAUCUACGUUGACGAUGCGUAUUCUAGCGAAAUUUAUCGGAAACAUUAUUUCAAAACCGUUUGGCAAAGACAUCUCUCGGCAUAGUAGAAACUAGUACAUGACCGGUAGCGCAAACUCUGUUGAGAACCGGGCGAGCAUGCGAAAAAUAAAUGGGAACAGUGACAUCUGGAUCGCAAGAGUAAGCCAUCAGCAGGGUCUAUACGAUCGUACACGACCAAUACAUCAACCACCACCAGCUAAAUGGAUUCGGCAUUCUCCAACCUACGAGUCAGAAAAGGGUCCAUCGCCUAAGCUCAGAGAAUCGUUUGUGUAUAAUAGCGCUAGCUGGAGCUUCGACACGUGUCCAAACAAUAUCCAUCAAUAUCCAUCCAAGACCAAACAAUAUCCAUCCAUCCGGCUUGAAGGAAUCUAUUAUUGAAUGCAGUAGGGAAUGAUUAGGAAAAAUAGUCUACUAGAUUUGAGCAACAAGAAAAAUAUGCGCAUAACAAAGAACAGAAGAAACGAAGGCUCCUCCGCAAGCUCGAUAUUCUAUUGACCACUGGUUCCUGUCUUUGAGAGUACGUGUGCGUGAAAAAUAUUACCAAUGUGAAGGUAAUCUGCGAUAUCCUGAUUUACAGGAUUGAAUCGAAUGGGAAGAAUGAUGGCAGAAUCACUCAGAACUCUACUAACUAUUCCUCACCUAGUUCUUAAAGCACCAAUAAUAGUGAUUUAUGAAAACAACACAACUAUAUGCAGAAGUCUUAACCCCCGGAGGCACAGAAGGAAAAAUCUAAAACGAUGCCGAAACCACUGUCUCACAUCACGAUGUUAGAAACGAACAUUCAUCGAAACUCUAAAGGGGAAAGGCAUCACGGAUCGUCCUUGGAGCUCAUCAAGAACUUUAUAUCGGUUUACUACAAAUAUAUCGCCAGUGCACUUUGACUUCAAUCAUAGACCAAUCAUUCAAUCAUAGGCCUAAUAAUCAAUCAGACCAAUCAAUCAAUUAUAGACAAUCAAUCAUAGACGAAACAAUCAAUCAUAAACCAAUAAAUUAUUAAUAAAUCAAUCAAUCAAUCCCGUGAUGAACUUAUUUUUAAGAUACAAAUUCUCGUUAAUAAAGUAUUAAAAAAAAUCAAUCAAUCAUGGAUCAAUCAACUAUAGGCCAACCAAUAUCAAUCAUAGGGCGAUCAAUUAAUCAUAAACCAGUCAAUCAAUCAUAUACCAAUCAAUUAAUCAUAGGCCAAUCAAUCAUAGAUCAAUCAAUCAGUCAUAAACCAAUCAAUUAAUCAUAGGCCAAUCAAUAAGUCAUAGACCAAUCAAUUAAUCAUAGGCCAAUCAAUCAAUCAUAGACCAAUAAAUCAAUCAUAGGCCAAUCAAUAUCAAUCAUAGAUCAAGCAGGGGGCCCUCCUUAGCCGUGUGGUAAGAUGCGCGGCUACCAAGCAGUACCAUGCUGAGGGUGGCUGGGUUCGAUUCCCGUCGCCGGUCUAGGCAAUUUUCGGUUUGGAAAUUGUCUCGACUUCCCUGGGCAUAAAAGUAUCAUCGUGUUAGCCUCAUGAUAUACAAAUGCAGAAAUGGUAACUUGGCUUAGAAACCUCGCAGUUAAUAACUGUGGAAGUGAAUGAACACUAAGCUACGAAACGGCAAUGCCCCAGUGAGGGAAUUAAUGCCAAUGAAGAAGAAGAAGAAGAUUAAGCAAUGAAUCAUUUUUUAGUUCUUUAUUUAAGUGAUUUUUUAAUGUGAAAUAAAGUUCAUCACUGCAAUCAAUCAUAGGCCAAUGAAUUAAUCAUAGAUCAAUCAAUCAUUCAUAAACCAAUCAAUCAAUCAUAGAUCAAUCAAUCAAUCAUAGGACAAUCAAUGAAUCAUAGACCAAUCAAUCAUUCAUAGGCCAAUCAAAUAAUCAUAGGCCAAUCAAUCAAUUAGAGAUCAAUCAAUCAAUCAUAGCCCAAUCAAUUAAUCAUAAGCCAAUCAAUAAAUCAUAAACCAAUCAAUCAAUCAUAGACCAAUCAAUCAAUCAUAGGCCAAUCAAUCAAUCAUGGACCAUACAAUCAAUCAUAGACCAAGCAAUAAUGGGCCAACCAAUCAUUCAUAGGUCAAUCAAUCAGUCAUAGGCCAAUAAAUCAGUCAUGAAUCAAUCAAUCAUAGGGCAAUCAUAGGCAAAUCAAUCAAUCAUAAACCGAUCAAUCAAUCAAUCAUAGGCCAAUCAAUCAAUCAAUGAUAGACCAGUCAAUCGAUCAUAGGCCAAUAUAUUAUAGACCUAUCAAUCAAUCAUAGACCAAUCAAUUAACCAUAGGUCAAUCAAUCAAUCAUAGGCCAAUCAAUUAAUCAUAGACCAAUAGAUUCGUCGAUUGAUAUUUAUAUUACACUAUGGAUCUCCGGCUCCUCUAUCAAAAUUGCAUUUUGAAGUGAGUUGACACCGUAUUAUGUAUGAAAUAUAUAUUAGUUUGAAAUAAAAUAAAGUGAUUUUAAGAUAAAUCUAAAUUAAUCUUCUUCUUCUUAUUGGCAUUACAUACCCACACUGGGACAGAGCCGCCUCACAGCUUAGUGUUUAUUAAGCACUUCCACAGUUAUUAACUGGGAGGUUUCUAAGCCAUGUUACCAUUUUUGCAUACGUAUAUCAUGAGGCUAGCACGAUGAUACUUUUAUGCCCAGGAAAGUCGAGACAAUCUAAAUUAAAUUGAAGUUAAAAAGUUAAAAUGAAACGAACUUUUCACUUUCGGACUACACACAUGGACUACAUUCAAACACAAAUGCAAACUACUAAAACUAAACCAACUUCAAUGAAACUUCAUAAAAUUUUCGUAUUGUUAAGUAAUAAAUUUAAGAGUAGAGUGUACUAAUUAUUUUUUUUAAUAAAUAUCUCAGUGUAUCAUCUUAUUUGGCUCUCUAGUUUUCCAUGCGAGCACAAGUAUAGCAUUAGCUAUCCAAAGAUGAGUUCGAUUUCCCGUUCGGCCUAGGAUGUUUUCGGGUGGAAAACAUACUCUGCUCCCUGGGCAUAAAAAAGCUGUUAAUAAUAAUUCUGGAAAUGCUUAGAAAACACGUUGUAU
Molecule: long non-coding RNA, 3806 nt
Organism: Armigeres subalbatus
Lineage: Eukaryota; Metazoa; Arthropoda; Insecta; Diptera; Culicidae
Exons: 5
Source: RefSeq, a predicted model, not a curated record